CAGUCGCCGCGGUAAUACAGAGGGUGCGAGCGUUAAUCGGAUUUACUGGGCGUAAAGCGUGCGUAGGCGGCUUCUUAAGUCGGAUGUGAAAUCCCUGAGCUUAACUUAGGAAUUGCAUUCGAUACUGGGAAGCUAGAGUAUGGGAGAGGAUGGUAGAAUUCCAGGUGUAGCGGUGAAAUGCGUAGAGAUCUGGAGGAAUACCGAUGGCGAAGGCAGCCAUUUGGCCUAAUACUGACGCUGAGGUACGAAAGCAUGGGGAGCAAACAGGAUUAGAUACCCCUGUAGUCCCUGUCUCUUAUAC
Molecule: ribosomal RNA, 301 nt
Filed under: uncultured bacterium
Lineage: Bacteria
Description: partial 16S ribosomal RNA
Rfam family: Bacterial small subunit ribosomal RNA
Source: RNAcentral